UCGCCAGCCUUCCGGACAGAGCAAUUGCCUUCUAAGCAAUCGGUCACUGGUUCGAAUCCAGUACAGCGCGCCA
RNAcentral lists this transfer RNA (73 nucleotides) under Escherichia coli. Its description in RNAcentral is "tRNA-Arg". It matches the Rfam family "tRNA", at positions 12 to 71 of the family's 71-position model. Rfam says of the family: Transfer RNA (tRNA) molecules are approximately 80 nucleotides in length. Their secondary structure includes four short double-helical elements and three loops (D, anti-codon, and T loops). Lineage: Bacteria; Pseudomonadati; Pseudomonadota; Gammaproteobacteria; Enterobacterales; Enterobacteriaceae. The record is from RNAcentral.